This 81-nucleotide transfer RNA is filed under the name Caenorhabditis brenneri. It matches the Rfam family "tRNA". From Rfam's summary of the family: Transfer RNA (tRNA) molecules are approximately 80 nucleotides in length. Their secondary structure includes four short double-helical elements and three loops (D, anti-codon, and T loops). The record is from Rfam by way of RNAcentral. Lineage: Eukaryota; Metazoa; Nematoda; Chromadorea; Rhabditida; Rhabditidae.
UCCCCCGUAGGUUAAGUAGACCGCUGGAAUUAGACUUAGAGUCGCCUGCCGGAAGUGCCGGUUCAAAUCCGGCCGGGGGAG